This 155-nucleotide ribosomal RNA is filed under the name chlamydia-associated clinical sample 698-G. Its description in RNAcentral is "partial 16S ribosomal RNA". It matches the Rfam family "Bacterial small subunit ribosomal RNA", at positions 1381 to 1533 of the family's 1533-position model. The record is from RNAcentral.
UUGUACACACCGCCCGUCACACCAUGAGAGUAUGUAACACCCAAAGCCGGUGGGAUAACCUUUAUAGGAGUCAGCCGUCUAAGGUAGGACAGAUGAUUAGGGUGAAGUCGUAACAAGGUAGCCGUAGAGAACCUGCGGCUGGAUCACCUCCUUUC